UGGUCAAUUGAUGUCACACAAUGAACA
RNAcentral lists this non-coding RNA (27 nucleotides) under Mus musculus (house mouse). The record is from RNAcentral. Lineage: Eukaryota; Metazoa; Chordata; Mammalia; Rodentia; Muridae.